RNAcentral lists this ribosomal RNA (1135 nucleotides) under Escherichia coli. RNAcentral's name for it is "partial 23S ribosomal RNA". It matches the Rfam family "Bacterial large subunit ribosomal RNA", at positions 609 to 1746 of the family's 2925-position model. Lineage: Bacteria; Pseudomonadati; Pseudomonadota; Gammaproteobacteria; Enterobacterales; Enterobacteriaceae. The record is from RNAcentral.
UGUAUAAUGGGUCAGCGACUUAUAUUCUGUAGCAAGGUUAACCGAAUAGGGGAGCCGAAGGGAAACCGAGUCUUAACUGGGCGUUAAGUUGCAGGGUAUAGACCCGAAACCCGGUGAUCUAGCCAUGGGCAGGUUGAAGGUUGGGUAACACUAACUGGAGGACCGAACCGACUAAUGUUGAAAAAUUAGCGGAUGACUUGUGGCUGGGGGUGAAAGGCCAAUCAAACCGGGAGAUAGCUGGUUCUCCCCGAAAGCUAUUUAGGUAGCGCCUCGUGAAUUCAUCUCCGGGGGUAGAGCACUGUUUCGGCAAGGGGGUCAUCCCGACUUACCAACCCGAUGCAAACUGCGAAUACCGGAGAAUGUUAUCACGGGAGACACACGGCGGGUGCUAACGUCCGUCGUGAAGAGGGAAACAACCCAGACCGCCAGCUAAGGUCCCAAAGUCAUGGUUAAGUGGGAAACGAUGUGGGAAGGCCCAGACAGCCAGGAUGUUGGCUUAGAAGCAGCCAUCAUUUAAAGAAAGCGUAAUAGCUCACUGGUCGAGUCGGCCUGCGCGGAAGAUGUAACGGGGCUAAACCAUGCACCGAAGCUGCGGCAGCGACGCUUAUGCGUUGUUGGGUAGGGGAGCGUUCUGUAAGCCUGUGAAGGUGUACUGUGAGGUAUGCUGGAGGUAUCAGAAGUGCGAAUGCUGACAUAAGUAACGAUAAAGCGGGUGAAAAGCCCGCUCGCCGGAAGACCAAGGGUUCCUGUCCAACGUUAAUCGGGGCAGGGUGAGUCGACCCCUAAGGCGAGGCCGAAAGGCGUAGUCGAUGGGAAACAGGUUAAUAUUCCUGUACUUGGUGUUACUGCGAAGGGGGGACGGAGAAGGCUAUGUUGGCCGGGCGACGGUUGUCCCGGUUUAAGCGUGUAGGCUGGUUUUCCAGGCAAAUCCGGAAAAUCAAGGCUGAGGCGUGAUGACGAGGCACUACGGUGCUGAAGCAACAAAUGCCCUGCUUCCAGGAAAAGCCUCUAAGCAUCAGGUAACAUCAAAUCGUACCCCAAACCGACACAGGUGGUCAGGUAGAGAAUACCAAGGCGCUUGAGAGAACUCGGGUGAAGGAACUAGGCAAAAUGGUGCCGUAACUUCGGGAGAAGG